GGAGCGAAAAGCAGUGUGCACAGGGACAGAAAAAUCGAAUAUUUUUUUGGGAGAAGAAGAAAGGUAGGGAUUUUUUUUACUCGGAGCGGGAGAGAGAAGGAGAUGGUGUGGGCUGCGAGUCAACAGCUUGUAAGAGGGAAGAGAACUCGGAUAUGGGGAGGAGCAUUCCUGUGUUGGCUUUGCCUCAUGUUGGCCACCCCCAAGAUCCCUCACUCUCCCAAGCACCAUCUCUUCGCUGACAUGCGCAACUUUCUCGGAGUGCCUAACUCGUUGAAUGUGAUUACAAAUUUCCCAUUUUUGGUUGUGGGUGUUCUGUGUUUUGUUCUUUGUCUCCAAGGAAACCUUUUUAACAUAAGUUUGCGAGGAGAGGUAUGGGGUUGGGCUCUAUUUUAUGCAGGCACAGCAGGGGUGGCUUUUGGGUCUGCUUAUUAUCAUUUGAAGCCCGAUGACGAUAGAGUAAUGUGGGACACCUUGCCGAUGAUGAUCGCGUAUUCCUCGCUUUACUCUAGUUUUAUAGUGGAAAGAGUGGGGGAGAGGAUUGGAUUGAGUUGUCUAUUUGCCCUCCUUUUACUCGCUUUACUUAGCACGGGUUAUGAAAGAAAAUAUAAUGAUCUUCGGUUGUGCAUGGUGUUCCAGUUGAUUCCGUCGAUAGCCAUCCCAGGCAUGGCGUGCUUGUUCCAACCCAAAUAUACUCACUCAAGAUAUUGGGUUUUUGCAGCAGGGGCACACAUUCUAGCCAAAUUUGAAGGUGUUGCUGACAGGAAAAUAUACCGAGUAAAUUGUUACUUCAUCAGUGGGCACUCCUUGGAGCAUUUAUGUUUAGCAAUGGUCCCUGUUCUGCUCAGUGUUAUGCUCAUGUAUAGAAGGAUGAAAUUUCAGAGAUUAGACGAUCAUAAAGAGCGUCUGUGAAGAGUAGGAACGAUCGGUGAAGGCAUGCGUGGGGCAUUGGCUAGUUGGUGCCUAAGAGUUUUUAGUCAAGGAUUAAGGUUAUUGGAGAGGUGUCCAUUGCUGGACUAUUGCCAGCAUGUAGAAAUUUUGAAAAUUUUGUUGAGGUUGGCCCUCUUCCAUUUGAAGGUAAUUCAUAGUAUUAAUCUGGUUAUCUUGGUGCCACUGUAAAUGGAUUCUCUACAGUCCAAUCAUUGCAUGGAGGGGGAAAUCUACUGAUCAGAAAGGUUUAGGAGACAGAGGCAGUGAGGGGGCAAUAUUUUGGAACUUUAUUUGGUUUUUUGACAUGAUAUGUUGUACUAAAUUCUACUUUGAUCUGCCAAUUAUAUUGAAUUCAAUUUUCCAAGCACCCAAGGCAAUGAUGGGGAAAGCUUCAUGCAUGUUUGGCACACGAGAGG
Alnus glutinosa is the source of this 1343-nucleotide RNA transcript. RefSeq lists it as uncharacterized. Lineage: Eukaryota; Viridiplantae; Streptophyta; Magnoliopsida; Fagales; Betulaceae. The record is from RefSeq and is a predicted model, not a curated record. The transcript is spliced from 9 exons.